UUUCAAAGCACAGGGUUCCCAGACUCCCUUGGCAUCACAGACGUGUGCUAGCAAGGCGUCACAUCUUGAGGUGUUCUGGUGAGAUGCCUGCUGAAUUCAAAGCAAGGCAAUUCUGCCUCUUCCCUGCGGCGCUGCUGAUGGCAGAAGUACUGUGGGAUGGGGGCUCUGUGGCCACAGCCAGAGCACAGCAUUCUCUGCUAGGUUCCCUCAGGAAGCCUCAUUUUGCCUGUCCUGUACAGCACCCCUUUCCUCCAUGUUCUGCCCCUUGACAGACUGAUGUUAUUAUCUGGGCAGUAGAGCCUGCAUGAAUUGGCUGCUUCCCUUUCUCCUAGAAAAAAUGUGAACCGAGCUGUUUACAGAUCGAUGUGGAGAGCUCAUUAUACCGCUGACCUCAUUCUGCUGGAAGGGGAGCUGGCUCAGUCUACAGCCUGGUCUCUUGAAGGUCGGCCACGUGUGCAGUGGUAAUUUAGGAGGUCUCUGCCCCGACUUGUCUUCAUUGCCUCUCUCCCAGAGGGUGGCUGACGCAGAACAAAGGCAGCAGAAUGGAAGAGACACCUUUCGUGGGUGCAAUCAUGGAAGAUAGAAGUGGGUGCAAUCAUAGAAGAGCAAUCAUGGAAGGUCACUUUGUGUUUGUUUUACCUCUACCCCCUUACCUGUAACAAUGCAAUCCAGAAC
Gallus gallus (chicken) is the source of this 675-nucleotide long non-coding RNA. NCBI's taxonomy places the organism in Eukaryota, Metazoa, Chordata, Aves, Galliformes, Phasianidae. The record is from Ensembl.